Molecule: small nucleolar RNA, 138 nt
Organism: Cavia aperea (Brazilian guinea pig)
Lineage: Eukaryota; Metazoa; Chordata; Mammalia; Rodentia; Caviidae
Source: Ensembl
CUGGCCCUGAAUCAAGGCCAGCAGCUUCCUGAUGCUGUUGGUUUUUAAGCAGGAGCCUAAAGAGAUGUCUUUCUAUGGUUUGUUGGCCAUUUCAGAACUUGGGCAGUGAAAUAGUCAAUUCAUUAGAAAGAAACAGCU